Molecule: long non-coding RNA, 240 nt
Filed under: Elaeis guineensis (African oil palm)
Lineage: Eukaryota; Viridiplantae; Streptophyta; Magnoliopsida; Arecales; Arecaceae
Description: long non-coding RNA (EGUI_LNC035637)
Source: RNAcentral
CCGUAGGAGUCUAGACGAAGUCUUCCAGCGACCGGAGUCGGAGACGAGAUCUGGCUCCCGUAGGAGUCCGGGUGAAGUCUACCUGCAAUUAAAGUCAUGAGCGAAAUCCGGCUCCCUUAGGAGUCCGGACAAAGUUUACCAGCAGUUGAGGUCGGGGACGGAGCCCGGCUCCCGUAGGAGUCCGGGCGAAUCCUUCCAGCAGUUGAGGUCGAGGACGAAGUCCGGCUCCCGUAGGAGUCC